Molecule: ribosomal RNA, 598 nt
Filed under: uncultured bacterium
Lineage: Bacteria
Description: bacterial SSU rRNA
Rfam family: Bacterial small subunit ribosomal RNA
Source: RNAcentral
GCAUUAGCUAGUUGGUAAGGUAACGGCUUACCAAGGCGAUGAUGCAUAGCCGAGUUGAGAGACUGAUCGGCCACAAUGGAACUGAGACACGGUCCAUACUCCUACGGGAGGCAGCAGUAGGGAAUCUUCCACAAUGGGCGCAAGCCUGAUGGAGCAACACCGCGUGAGUGAAGAAGGGUUUCGGCUCGUAAAGCUCUGUUGUUGGAGAAGAACGUGCGUGAGAGUAACUGUUCACGCAGUGACGGUAUCCAACCAGAAAGUCACGGCUAACUACGUGCCAGCAGCCGCGGUAAUACGUAGGUGGCAAGCGUUAUCCGGAUUUAUUGGGCGUAAAGCGAGCGCAGGCGGUUGCUUAGGUCUGAUGUGAAAGCCUUCGGCUUAACCGAAGAAGUGCAUCGGAAACCGGGCGACUUGAGUGCAGAAGAGGACAGUGGAACUCCAUGUGUAGCGGUGGAAUGCGUAGAUAUAUGGAAGAACACCAGUGGCGAAGGCGGCUGUCUGGUCUGCAACUGACGCUGAGGCUCGAAAGCAUGGGUAGCGAACAGGAUUAGAUACCCUGGUAGUCCAUGCCGUAAACGAUGAGUGCUAGGUGUUGGAG